UUCUUUGUUUGGUUUCUUUUCUAUUGUCUAUCAAAAUGUGCGAACCAUUAGAGAAGAAAAAUAAGCGAAGCUUUCAAGAAGCUUGGCUUAGCGACAAUGAAUAUAAAUUUUGGAUACGUAAAGUAGCGUUAAAUGAUAAUCUUUUUCAUUGUACCAUAUGUAAGAAAAAUUUUUCUUGUAAUACACGUAUUUCAAGACAUGCAAAUUCUACAUGUCACAAAGAAAAUCUGCAAAAAACUAAAUUUUCUUUAUCAAAAAAUGACGAUGUAAAGAAACGUAUUUCUCAGACAAAACAAAAAUUCCGACAAGAAUGGUUAGAUAUUGAAAUAUUUAAACCAUGGUUACGCGAAGCAUCGCAUGAUAAAACCUUAUUUUUUUGCGAAUUUUGCAAAAAAUACAUGGAUGCUAGUUUAUGGCACAUUUAUCGUCAUGCAGAUUCUAUAACACAUUUAAAAAUUACUACAGAUAUAAAUAAAGAAAGAAAGAAAACAGACCAAGAUAUUAACAUUACAGACGAGUCACUUUUGUCGUUUGAUGAGCGAAAGAAAGAAGCAGAAAUUAAAUAUGCUGCGUUUAUCGCCGACAAAAAUAUUUCUCAUCAAACUGCAAAAGAUAUUCUCUCGUUUUUUCAACAGAUAGGAAAAGAUUCUAAAGUAUUAGAAGCUAUGAGUAUGAGUCGGACUAAAUGUAAUAAAAUAAUUUCAAACGUGUUAUGUCCAGUUGAAACCGAUCGUGUUGUUGACAUUCUUCAAAAUAAUAAAUUUACCAUUUUUAUUGAUGAAACGUCUGAUAUUACUAAUAACAAAUGGAUGACGUUUCAUAGUCGGUAUGUUGAUCCUGAAACAUUAGAUGUUCGCUCGCAAUUAGUCAAAUUAAUUGAUAUUGAUGCAAGAAAUAGCAACGCGGAAAAGUUAUUUGAGGCAUUUAGAAAUGUAAUGUAUAAACUACAAAUUCCAUUUCUAAACAUUGUUGCCUUAUCAUGUGAUAAUGCAUCUGUAAUGACAGGCAAAAAUUCAUCUUUUAAAACUAAGCUUGGGAACAUUUGUAAAAAUGUUUUAACAUUGUCUUGCCCAUGUCAUUCCGCCGCGUUAGUUGCACAUGCUGCAUGCAGUAAGAUUCCAAACUAUUGCGAGGAAUUUAUUAAAAAAAUAGCAACUUUUAUUAACAAUAGUCCCAAGCGAUCUGCUAUUUUUCAAGAAUUUUGUGAAUGUUUUCAGGAAACAAACCGCAAAAUUCUAAAGUUAUCCGAUACACGAUGGCUUUCUCGGCAUUUGUGUAUUGAGAGACUUUUAGAAUAUUGGGAUACUAUCAAGCUUUUUUUACAAGAAACUGUUAUUAAUGAAAAGACAAAGACUGGCGAAUAUUUAUUAGAUAUUAUGCAAAAAUUUGAUGUAAAAGCAUACUUAUUAUUUUUAAAACAUAUUUUACAUUUUUUUAAUACGUUUAACACUUUCUUUCAAGCAUUGGAAACAAGAAUACAUCUAUUACAACCUAAAUCACUUCAGUUCCUAACCAUGAUUUGUAAACCUUUUUUAAAAACAGAGUUUUUAAAUUAUGUAAAUAUUAAUUUUGAUUUUUCAAAUAUAGAACAUCAAAAAUCAUUAAACGAAAUAUAUUUAGGAACUGAAUGUGAAAAAUAUCUUGAUGGAUUGAUUACAGAAGGACACGUAGAUGUAGUUGCAAAUGUUCGACAGAACUGUUUGCAAUUUUACAUUACUGCUGCUCAAGAAAUUUCUAAAAAACUACCAAUAAAUGAUCCAUUCUUGUCCAAAUUAAAAGUUUUUGAAGCAGAGACAGCAUUACGUGAUCCUAAUAGACAAACAUCAUUUAAUGAUGUUUCUUUCAUUGCUAAAACUUUUAGCGGGUUUGAUGAUAACGGAUUAAAAAAAGAAUGGUUUGCUUUACAUCAAAAUUUUACAGAAAUAGAAAAAGAUAAUUUUAUAAUGUUAAAUUUGGAUGAAAUGUGGAAAAAAAUUUUUCAACGCAGUGAUCAAUUUCCCAAUUUAAAAUCUCUUUUGAAUGCUGUUAGAUCACUGCCAAAUUCAAAUGCCGACUCAGAAAGAAUCUUUUCCUUUCUGCCAGACUUAAAAACAAAAAAACGAAAUAAACUUUCGUCUGAAGUAGUCAAUGCUACUUGUGUUAUAAAAUCAGCAUUGAAAGCGAGAAAAGAAACUGCUCUAGAUAUAAAAAUUAAUGAGAAGCAUAUAGCUUUAAUGUCAUCUAAUCAAUUAUAUUAUACAUGUCCUAAAAGAGCAAAAUGUCAUUUAACAUUAUAUGCUGCAGAUAGUGAUAAUGAUGAUGAUGAUGAUAAUGAGAUUCAUCAACCUUCCACUUCUAAUAAUAUACAAUAAUAAUGUUUAAAAAUGUUUUAAAUUUAUUUUUCUAUUAAACAGGUCUGGUAAGCUAGACUUUACAUACAUCUAUAAAUAAUAGGUGUGUUUAAGUAACAAUUAAAAACUAGUCUGGCAUGCUAGACCUCACAUCUAUAAAUAAUUGAUGUGUUAAAGCAUUAAACAGGUCUGGUAAGCUAGACUUUACAUCUAUAAAUAAUAGAUGUGUUUAAGCAACAAUUAAAAACUAGUCUGGCAUGCUAGACCUCACAUCUAUAAAUAAUUGAUGUGUUAAAGCAUUAAACAGGUCUGGUAAGCUAGACUUUACAUCUAUAAAUAAUAGAUGUGUUUAAGCAACAAUUAAAAACUAGUCUGGCAUGCUAGACCUCACAUCUAUAAAUAAUUGAUGUGUUAAAGCAUUAAACAGGUCUGGUAAGCUAGACUUUACAUCUAUAAAUAAUAGAUGUGUUUAAGUAACAAUUUAAAACUAGUCUGGUAUGCUAGACCUCACAUCUAUAAAUAAUUGAUGUGUUAAAGCAUUAAACAGGUCUGGUAAGCUAGACUUUACAUCUAUAAAUAAUAGAUGUGUUUAAGUAACAAUUUAAAACUAGUCUGGUAUGCUAGACCUCACAUCUAUAAAUAAUUGAUGUGUUAAAGCAUUAAACAGGUCUGGUAAGCUAGACUUUACAUCUAUAAAUAAUAGAUGUGUUUAAGUAACAAUUUAAAACUAGUCUGGUAUGCUAGACCUCACAUCUAUAAAUAAUUGAUGUGUUAAAGCAUUAAACAGGUCUGGUAAGCUAGACUUUACAUCUAUAAAUAAUAGGUGUGUUUAAGUAACAAUUAAAAAUUAGUCUGGUAUGCUAGACCUCACAUCUAUAAAUAGAUGUGUUAAAAAUUUCAAUAAAUUAAAUGUGGUAUAAUAGGGCUACUGGCGAAGGUCCACGUAAAAAAACCUAACGCGCUAUAUAGUGGCACCUCAUGGGUGGCGUGGAAGCCACUUAAAUAAUUUAAAUUUUUUUCAUUAAUCUUUUGCUAACUCGUCAGCUCUUUUUUAUUUGUGUAUUUAAUAAAUUAUUACAAAUUUUAUUAUUUAAUUUAUAUUUUUAUUGAAAUUAAUUUUAUUAUAAUUUUAAAGACAAUAAAUUACAUUAAUAGUAAAAAAUUAAAUAACAAAUAAUAAUAAAUAAUAUGAUUAAUGAUAUCGAUGAUAGAUAUCAAUUAAUCUGCUUAACGUCCACGCUUGAGAUGAGCGGGGGACGAGCGAGGGGAGGGCGAGCAUAAAUGCUUUCGUCGAGCAUCAACGUGCCCGCGAACGCACGUUUUCGUGGCAGCCUUGGAGAAAAAGAGACGGAUGUCUCUCUCUCUUUAAUAUCCGAGUAGUGGCAGACGCGGCGAGAACGGCCGAGCCGGCCCGAAAGCCGAGGCAUGAACGCGGCCGACUCGGUGCUCCGGGAGCACCCGAGGUGCCCCGAGAGUACCCGAGGUGCUAGCGGACUAAAUCUUGCACCACUGCCGCGAUCCACCCCGCUUUUGCGUGCGAGCGGUUCAGCCGUUAAGUUGCGGGUCGUGUCUCGAGAGACCAAAGUUAUCGGUGUGGCGCGUGCUGGGCCAUUGCGAGAGCCAGAGGACGAGCCGAGAGACGAGGGAGGACGCCCUGGACGUUAUCGAAAUAAUCAUCAGUGGAAACAAUACUUCUUCUUCGCAUUUGGUUCAAAAUGUCAUCAAAAGCUGGCUACAGCAUGCUGGCGAUCGAAUAACUCAAGAAAGAAAACGUCAUGAAUCACGAAGAAAUAUGUAACCGUUCGCGCCAUAUCACAGAAGAAUUUGUUUUGUUAUUAUAGUAUUAUAAGUCGCGCAUAAUAAUAAUAUGCGAAUAAUACUAAAUUAUCUUGAGUAUAAAUUGACAACUAUAAAAUGCUUUUCUCUCUUUAGUUUCUCAUUCAAUAUUAUCUACAUAAUAUAAAUUACUCAGUUCAAUUUUGGGAGGAAAAAACUGCAGAAUGUGUACGAAGGGGAAAAAAACAGAAGUAAUAACGGAAUAGAUAUUUUUUUAUUAUAUUAUAUUUGAUAUUAAAAAUUUACAAAUAGUAUUAUAUUAUUAUUUGUUUAUAAUUUAAUAGCGUUAUUAAUUUUUUAAAAAAUAAUAACGCUACUAGAUAGCAUUUUUUAGCCUGUUCAUGACAUUUGAUAAGCCAAAGUAUCAGUUGAAGUGCAUUUUAAUGUAUUUCGUACACAUUCUGCAUUUUUUCCUCUCAAAGUUAAACUGGGCAGCAAUCAUGUAACUUUUUCCUUAAGGCGGAAACGUGAAAAGUGAAAAGUUUCAUGUAACUAUCUCUUUCUAUUGGUGUUGAAUAGAAAGAGAUGGUAACUUGAAACUUUUCAUUUUUCACAUUUUCGCCCUAGGGAAAAAAUUACAUGAUUGAUACCCUGAUUAAUAUAAUAAUUUAGAUUAUGCAGAUAAUUUUGAAUAAAAAACUAAAGAGGAGGGGGGGAAGCAUUUUAUAGUCGUCAAUUUGUACUCUAAGCUAGAUGAUUUAGUAUUAUUUAUUUAGUGUUACUUUUUUGUUUAUUUUCAAUCUUUUAUAAACUUUUCAUUUUUAAGAAUACAUACACUUGCGACCAAAUAUACAUAUGAGAAACACGAGAUGAGAAAAAAUCAUUCAAAUGUGAUAAGAAUAU
This 5009-nucleotide unclassified non-coding RNA is filed under the name Monomorium pharaonis (pharaoh ant). Its description in RNAcentral is "uncharacterized LOC118646557, transcript variant X1". The record is from RNAcentral. Lineage: Eukaryota; Metazoa; Arthropoda; Insecta; Hymenoptera; Formicidae.